RNAcentral lists this ribosomal RNA (514 nucleotides) under uncultured bacterium. Its description in RNAcentral is "partial 16S ribosomal RNA". It matches the Rfam family "Bacterial small subunit ribosomal RNA", at positions 30 to 523 of the family's 1533-position model. The record is from RNAcentral.
AUUGAACGCUGGCGGCAGGCCUAAUACAUGCAAGUCGAGCGAACAGAUGAGAAGCUUGCUUCUCUGAUGUUAGCGGCGGACGGGUGAGUAACACGUGGGUAACCUACCUAUAAGACUGGGAUAACUCCGGGAAACCGGGGCUAAUACCGGCUAAUAUUUUGAACCGCAUGGUUCAAUAGUGAAAGACGGUUUCGGCUGUCACUCAUAGAUGGACCCGCGCCGUAUUAGCUAGUUGGUAAGGUAACGGCUUACCAAGGCGACGAUACGUAGCCGACCUGAGAGGGUGAUCGGCCACACUGGAACUGAGACACGGUCCAGACUCCUACGGGAGGCAGCAGUAGGGAAUCUUCCGCAAUGGGCGAAAGCCUGACGGAGCAACGCCGCGUGAGUGAUGAAGGUCUUCGGAUCGUAAAACUCUGUUGUUAGGGAAGAACAAAUUUGUUAGUAACUGAACAAGUCUUGACGGUACCUAACCAGAAAGCCACGGCUAACUACGUGCCAGCCGCCGCGGUAA